UACGGGGGGGAGCAAGCGUUGUUCGGAUUUACUGGGCGUAAAGGGCGCGUAGGCGGUCAGCACAAGUCAGUUGUGAAAUCUCCGGGCUUAACUCGGAAAGGUCAACUGAUACUGUGCGACUAGAGUGCGGAAGGGGCAACUGGAAUUCUUGGUGUAGCGGUGAAAUGCGUAGAUAUCAAGAGGAACACCUGCGGCGAAGGCGGGUUGCUGGGCCGACACUGACGCUGAAGCGCGAAGCCAGGGGAGCGAACGGG
RNAcentral lists this ribosomal RNA (254 nucleotides) under uncultured bacterium. RNAcentral describes it as "partial 16S ribosomal RNA". It matches the Rfam family "Bacterial small subunit ribosomal RNA", at positions 524 to 776 of the family's 1533-position model. The record is from RNAcentral.